GGGCGAUUAGCUCAGUGGGAGAGCACUGCCUUCACACGGCAGGGGUCGCAGGUUCGAAACCCGCAUCGCCCACCA
RNAcentral lists this transfer RNA (75 nucleotides) under Nitrospiraceae bacterium. RNAcentral's name for it is "tRNA-Val". It matches the Rfam family "tRNA". From Rfam's summary of the family: Transfer RNA (tRNA) molecules are approximately 80 nucleotides in length. Their secondary structure includes four short double-helical elements and three loops (D, anti-codon, and T loops). Lineage: Bacteria; Pseudomonadati; Nitrospirota; Nitrospiria; Nitrospirales; Nitrospiraceae. The record is from RNAcentral. RNAcentral also lists the same sequence under 2 other names.